Hypanus sabinus (Atlantic stingray) is the source of this 321-nucleotide long non-coding RNA. RefSeq lists it as uncharacterized. Lineage: Eukaryota; Metazoa; Chordata; Chondrichthyes; Myliobatiformes; Dasyatidae. The record is from RefSeq and is a predicted model, not a curated record. The transcript is spliced from 3 exons.
AAAUUUGAUUGCAAUCCAAUGCGCAACUUCAACUUUUAUAACAUUACUGCUAUUAUUUAAUGUGUUGUAUUUUUCAAUCCAUUAGGUAUUCAAAGAACCUCUGAGGAAUCAAGUCAGAGCAGAGAACCGGCUGGACGAGCGCCAGUUGAAUAUAACCUUGCCUAUGCUACACUAAACGUGAGAGAAAACAAAAGAAUUCACCAGGUCAGACGCCAGGACGAUCAUGUUGUCUAUGCAAAGACUCGAUGUGGCAGAGAUGAAAAGUUGACAUAUGCCGCUCUGCAGCUGCAACAAUAAAGUAUCGGCAACAAGGAUUCAGUG